GGGCGAGAUGGGAGAGGGAGGCGGCGAGGAGAAGGUGGGCGGGGAAGAGGAGGAAGGGCUGGAGAUGGAGGCUGACCUGCUCGGGCCGCCGGCGACUCCCGCCUCGUGCGUGGUCGCUGGAGUAGGUUGUCUCUCGAGGCAGCAGGUGGAGGGGAGGAAAACGCGAGACGAGCAGAUUCCGUGAGAUUUCCCACCUCUACAGCUCGGAAAC
RNAcentral lists this long non-coding RNA (211 nucleotides) under Hordeum vulgare. Its description in RNAcentral is "long non-coding RNA (HVUL_LNC020533)". Lineage: Eukaryota; Viridiplantae; Streptophyta; Magnoliopsida; Poales; Poaceae. The record is from RNAcentral.